GGGUAAACCUNAGAAACCCNAAAGGUCGAAUGGGGAAAUUCAUUCRCGUUUCNAACRUSGGSNCCGGGUYRACGNCGAGACGGGCNCGCCGUUCGCRCCACGCUCGCUCCGUCGUCCGGCGCGCCCGGCGUCGAACGCGUGCACUUUUCCCCUAGUAGGACGUCGUGAUCCGUUGGACGUCGGUCUACGGCCCGCCGGUUAGCCCGUCCGGGGUAAACGCUUCGCGGCGUCCCGGGCGGACCGGCGGUGUCCCGGCCGGCUCGUCCGACGGUAAGAAUUAGGCGCGGGGCCGCUACCACUCGGUUAGCGUCCGGCCCGCCGCAAGCACGUCCGGCGUUCGGCACGGCGAUCGRACCCGGUGCCGGUCCCGUCCCCCGGCGACUGUUGGCGGCGGAGCUCUCGGACAGACCUCCGUUAAACGCCGAUCGACGACGCUAUAGCU
This 442-nucleotide ribosomal RNA is filed under the name Orsodacne atra. RNAcentral describes it as "partial 28S ribosomal RNA". The record is from RNAcentral. Lineage: Eukaryota; Metazoa; Arthropoda; Insecta; Coleoptera; Orsodacnidae.